Molecule: ribosomal RNA, 464 nt
Filed under: Vreelandella stevensii
Lineage: Bacteria; Pseudomonadati; Pseudomonadota; Gammaproteobacteria; Oceanospirillales; Halomonadaceae
Description: partial 16S ribosomal RNA
Rfam family: Bacterial small subunit ribosomal RNA
Source: RNAcentral
CCUACGGGGGCAGCAGUGGGGAAUAUUGGACAAUGGGCGAAAGCCUGAUCCAGCCAUGCCGCGUGUGUGAAGAAGGCCUUCGGGUUGUAAAGCACUUUCAGUGGGGAAGAAAGCCUUGGGGCUAAUACCCUCGAGGAAGGACAUCACCCACAGAAGAAGCACCGGCUAACUCCGUGCCAGCAGCCGCGGUAAUACGGAGGGUGCGAGCGUUAAUCGGAAUUACUGGGCGUAAAGCGCGCGUAGGCGGUCUGAUAAGCCGGUUGUGAAAGCCCCGGGCUCAACCUGGGAACGGCAUCCGGAACUGUCAGGAUAGAGUGCAGGAGAGGAAGGUAGAAUUCCCGGUGUAGCGGUGAAAUGCGUAGAGAUCGGGAGGAAUACCAGUGGCGAAGGCGGCCUUCUGGACUGACACUGACGCUGAGGUGCGAAAGCGUGGGUAGCAAACAGGAUUAGAUACCCCGGUAGUC